Myotis davidii is the source of this 126-nucleotide non-coding RNA. The record is from Rfam. Lineage: Eukaryota; Metazoa; Chordata; Mammalia; Chiroptera; Vespertilionidae.
ACCAUCCUUUUCUUGGGGUUGCGCUACUGUCCAAUGAACGCCUAGUGAGGGCAGUACUGCUAACGCCGAAACAACACGUUCGCAUCAGGCUGGGCUCUGCUUUGCCUUGGUGCAAUUUUUGGAACA